CCGGCGAGCGGGAGACAGGAGCGGAAACCACAGAGGUAGAGUCAGGGCCGACACUGAAGAAACGUAGAUGCACAGGGAGGGGCCGAUAUUAGUGUACAGAGAGAAAGAGGGAACACGGUGCGGUGACACCUAGCCUCGGAGACAGCGGGAGCUCCGAGCCCACGGAGAGCGGGGGAGUUCCGCUUCCUCCCGCCCCAGCGGCUCCCGCCCCGCCUGGGCGCAGCCGGCCGUCCCGGCUCCGAGGGUGCAGCGCGCCCGGGCGCAGCGCGAGUGCGUGGAGCCGGGCUGCAGCACGACCCCGCCGCUCGGGUUUGGGUGUCCUCAGGCUCCGCGCUCCUCCUCCCCUCCUCCAGAUGGGACUGGCUCUCCUCUUUGCAAAGCCAGGCUCGCGGGGAGACGUGGUGAGCAGUAGCCAGCAGCUGGUGUGCCGUGGACGCCGCUGACCGCCGCGCGCCCGGACCGGGUGUCCACAUGAGUGCCUCUCCCAGCAGAUCCAGCGCCAAGCCGGCUCCCCAACCUGGUCUGCUGAACGCAAACCGCUGAGAGUUUGCUGCACCGCCCCCUGGGGCCCCUGGCUGCCGAGUCCCGCUAAGGCAAAGACGCCAGCAAGCGAGGAAGCGCCGCGGAAGA
Molecule: long non-coding RNA, 630 nt
Filed under: Pan troglodytes (chimpanzee)
Lineage: Eukaryota; Metazoa; Chordata; Mammalia; Primates; Hominidae
Description: long non-coding RNA NONPTRT002891
Source: RNAcentral